GAAGGCGAGCACUCUAGACGAACUGCCGUUGACAAAACGGAGGAAGGUGGGGAUGACGUCAAGUCCGCAUGCUCCUUACGUCUAGGGCUACACACGUGCUACAAUGGGCGGUACAAAGGGGUCGCAACCCGUAAGGGGGAGCAAAUCCACUUAAAGCCGUCCUCAGUUCGGAUUGAGGUCUGCAACUCGACCUCAUGAAGCUGGAAUCGCUAGUAAUCGCGGAUCAGCAUGCCGCGGUGAAUACGUUCCCGGGCCUU
Molecule: ribosomal RNA, 257 nt
Filed under: uncultured Syntrophorhabdus sp.
Lineage: Bacteria; Pseudomonadati; Thermodesulfobacteriota; Syntrophorhabdia; Syntrophorhabdales; Syntrophorhabdaceae
Description: partial 16S ribosomal RNA
Rfam family: Bacterial small subunit ribosomal RNA
Source: RNAcentral